Long non-coding RNA from Spodoptera frugiperda (fall armyworm), 2511 nucleotides. RefSeq lists it as uncharacterized. The transcript is spliced from 3 exons. Lineage: Eukaryota; Metazoa; Arthropoda; Insecta; Lepidoptera; Noctuidae. The record is from RefSeq and is a predicted model, not a curated record.
UCGGUCUCAUGCAUGAGAAGCGGGCGUCUCAAACUGCCAGGCCACCACCAUGAAAUGUUACACUUUUCGAAAAUACACUUAAUGCUGACUGUAGGAUCAUAGGCGGUGCCGGUGUGGGCGUGAGGUCGCGGGAAUACUGCUAUAAAAGCGCGCGCGUAUCGUCCCGCCUUAAAGAUACUCUUGUUGCCUCGGAACCUUGACGGAGCGCACACUAGCUCGGGCAUUUUAUUUAAAUAAAUAAUUCAGAUUAAAAAAAGACUAUUGUAAUACAGUUCACAUUUACUUUACAAAAUAUUGGUCCUUGGAUCAUAAAGAAGAAACAAUUAUAUUACUGAAAACAUCACCGUGAAAUAAAAGAAGGCGUUUCAUUUCGCUGGUGUUUAUUCUGAGGGAGUAUUAUUGUAUUUGAACAGAAACUGAAGUGCUUGCUGGUGAUUGCGACUCCCCAUUUGCUGAGCGUGAGGACUUCGCCGCCAGUUCUUCGGUCUAGUCUCGAGUGGUACUCACGCGCAGUCUACUCGGUUCUUCUGCCAACAUGGCCGGGUCGGAGAUGGGCUGCAAGGAUACUUGAUCAGGUGAACAUAAUUCAAACAGUUGAAGGAAAUAACUACAUUGGCUUGAGUUUAGGACAUAUUUGAUUGAUUUAUGACCAAUAGUCAAGAGAAACUCAACUUUUAUAGUUCAAAAUAUUGAAUGUAAAUAAUGUCAUUAUUGUAUGGGAUUUGUUAUGUGAUCGUUACAAUAACAACCGUAUUUUAGUACAUAACCAUUUUUAAACCUUAUUUGAAGUAGAACCAAUGUUAAUAACCAAAAAUUUAAAAAGAAUCCUACUCAAUAUUGGUCUACUAAUAACAAAAUUAAGGAACAUAGGAAGAAUAAAUUUAAUUUAUUUUCAUUUAUAAGCAGGAAAGUACACUGGUUUCAAUCAGUGGAGUUAUUAGCUAACAUUAGUUUAGAAACCAACAUUAUUUCUGCUUAUAUAACAAUUAUUUCAAUAAAACAGAUUAUAAGUCAAUUCAAAACAAUAAAAACCUUUACAAUAAUAAUUAUGUACUAAAAAAACUAUUUUAGUCCUCAAGAAAAGGCAAUGUUAAUGCAGGCAAUCUUUUCGAAACCUAUCUAUAGGAAAUCUUGUUUAUAAAGUUUUCAUGAAUUGCUUAUCUUAUGGAUAUUCUAAAAAUGAUAAAUUUUCAUAUUGAAAAUUACACAAUGCAGAAGAAAGUAUAACAAGUUUUUGCAUUUAGAGGGCAAUUCUGAUUCCAUUUCAAUUCACUUUUUUUCUGAUAUGCUGCUUUUGCUAUCCAAUUCCAUGUUGUGCUAUCAGCCAAUUUUACGCAGCUUGCUACUUCUGCGCAUUUCUAAAUGUUCACAGCUGAUGGAAGUGUCUGGCGAGGCGGGUAUGAAGUACACUGCGCACCUAUUGCUAGGAAAUGGCAGCACGGGGAACUUCAUUACAGAAAGCUUAACAAAACAUCUGAUUUUUUUACGACGCGGUUCCGGCAUCAAGGCCAACCUUAAAGUUCCAGGGGGAAGUGAAGCCGGGAAUCCUGAUUCUGAUCAAGAACAAGACAGGCUAGGUUAUGAAUAUCUAUCCUGGCGUUGAGUUGAAGACGCUGAGGAGCACCACAUAUUGUGCCUACAACGGCAUCCGCCCUGGCUUGAGAGUAUAGACUACAAGUUUAAGUGGAAGGCUUUUUAGACUUGUAGUCUAUACUCAGGACCUAGGAAUACGUCAGUAGAUGACGUAGGAUCAUUAGACAUUACGCUUUCCUCGGCAUGACGGAGUGCAGACUAACUCGAACAUUUUAUUUUUAUACAUUACUCUGAAUUAAAAGUAUUGUAAUACAGUUAAUUUUUACAAAAACUUUUAGUAGUAGGAUACUAACUAAUGAAAAACUCCUGUUAAAAUUUCAGGUUCUUAACAACCUGCAUUUGGACUAAAUUUGUUAAUUAAAUAUCAUUGUGCAUAUUAAAAGCUUGAAUUUCACCUAAUUUCUAUCACUGACUAGGGUGUUUGAAAAAUUUAGACUCACAUGACAUGACUCUUAGUAUGUUCAAUGAUGGCUUUAUGAAAAUAAUACUUUUUGCUCAUUUCUCCUUGAAUGUAUUCUUGCUGGCAAAGGCAUAAUAAUACCUUGCUUACAAAAUGAAACUUUUUCAUUUCAUAAAAUUCCCAAUUCUAAGAAUGUUGAAUGUAGAAUAGUUUGUAGAGUAAUUCAUUGAACCCCUUCCUUGUGAUUUGGCGAUGCUUCUUUAAUAUAUACUUUGUUGAUGCUUCAAGAAAAUGAUGAUUUGUGGUGGUAUAUGGUUAUCAGCUAACUUAUAUAUACCUUGAACUUUAACAUAAUAAUAUGUUUUAUUUUUACACAUUUUUUUUUAAAUAAACUGCAGUAUUGGUGUCUUCACUUUGAAUACUGAUAUCUAAUUAAGUUUGAAUCAGAACUGUUUAUGUUAUAGAAUGGAAACUGGCAUGGCAAUAUCAUUUUAUUUCAUUAAAUGAGAUUUCUCAAA